Molecule: long non-coding RNA, 356 nt
Organism: Clupea harengus (Atlantic herring)
Lineage: Eukaryota; Metazoa; Chordata; Actinopteri; Clupeiformes; Clupeidae
Exons: 3
Source: RefSeq, a predicted model, not a curated record
UGGACCACCCCCUCGCCUGGCCUGGGGAGUCUGCCAAGCCCGAAGGGAGGGAGGGACAACAGAAGUUUUGAGAACGACACAGACAACAGGAGAGGUAAAAGUGAACCAGUGCUGAGAUCUCCGUAUGAAUCAGGAUUUUCCAUGACAGACAUUGACCCAGAUAAAGACUAUUCCAUUCCCAGGCCUCAGACCACAAACAUAAAUGAACCCUACGACGAAUACUACGGACCCAGGCUGUCUAAUUGACACGCUAUUACAUUAACCAUAUCCAACAUAAAUACAUUUCACAGUCAAUCAAUCUUCGUGUUCUGUUCUCUCGUUUAGCGGUCUACCAUCAAGUUCAUUAUUCUACGACA